Molecule: small nuclear RNA, 112 nt
Filed under: Heterocephalus glaber (naked mole-rat)
Lineage: Eukaryota; Metazoa; Chordata; Mammalia; Rodentia; Bathyergidae
Description: U2 spliceosomal RNA
Rfam family: U2 spliceosomal RNA
About the family: U2 is a small nuclear RNA (snRNA) component of the spliceosome (involved in pre-mRNA splicing). Complementary binding between U2 snRNA (in an area lying towards the 5' end but 3' to hairpin I) and the branchpoint sequence (BPS) of the intron results the bulging out of an unpaired adenosine, on the BPS, which initiates a nucleophilic attack at the intronic 5' splice site, thus starting the first of two transesterification reactions that mediate splicing.
Source: Rfam by way of RNAcentral
AUUGCUUCUUGGCCUUUUGGCUAAGAUCAAGUGUAUAUCUGAUAUUCUAUCUUCAGAUUCCCUUAAUCUGCUGUGGAUACUUUCAAUGGAGUUUUUGAUCUCCUGAAUAUCU